ACGACGGCUUUCUCACGAUAGGCUCAAAGCGACUCAUGUGUUUUCAAAGAAUGAAAAUGGAAAGUGAACAACACAUGUUAGGCUUGGAAAGCAGGGAGCAGUUUUUGGAGCUCGAGUCCUCAGGGGAAGAACUGCACGGAAAACAGAAAGACCUUAAAGACCUGAGGCUCCAUUCUCACGAGUCAACUAGUUCCACAUCACUCUGGAAUCACUUAUCCAGCGCCACAGUGGUUUGGGGAAAGUGACCUAAUGUUUCUGGAAUGAUCACAGGACUCUAGACCUGAGGGUUCGCUCUGACCACGAGUUCCAAAGACGAAGACAGUCUGUAGUGUUCACAGCAGCCCCACGGACACGGGGCCCAGGAGGAGACACUGAAUCCACAGCGAUCAAGCCCCCCCCCCCAUGCAACCUGGGCUCAGCUCUCCUCAUCUGCUUUUCUCCUCUGCCCCGAAGCUGGCAUCUUCCCCAGGCGGUGCCUGGGGUUGCUCUGGGGGCGUGCAUCUCUGAGUCCGAAAAGACGGAGGCAUCAGGUUCAGUGUUUAUCUUGCGGCCGGGAGAAAAUGAACUCGACCGAGACAGCAUGAAAUACACGUGUGGGAUUAGACUGUCAGGGCAGACCAGGGACCAUAAACUAUCUCACGUGU
This is a long non-coding RNA of Artibeus jamaicensis (Jamaican fruit-eating bat), 644 nucleotides long. RefSeq lists it as uncharacterized. The record is from RefSeq and is a predicted model, not a curated record. The transcript is spliced from 3 exons. Lineage: Eukaryota; Metazoa; Chordata; Mammalia; Chiroptera; Phyllostomidae.